Long non-coding RNA from Neopelma chrysocephalum (saffron-crested tyrant-manakin), 755 nucleotides. RefSeq lists it as uncharacterized. The record is from RefSeq and is a predicted model, not a curated record. NCBI's taxonomy places the organism in Eukaryota, Metazoa, Chordata, Aves, Passeriformes, Pipridae. The transcript is spliced from 2 exons.
CAUGGGGGGAGGUUUAAGUCUUAAUGACAAUGCUCUGGUCUCUUGGUGGCAAAGACUGGGUCCUACAGUCCCAGCCUGAUGAGGGAGAACAGGAGCUUCUGUUCUUUGUGGCAAACUUUCUGUUACUCCUUGUGCAGUCUUUUCUUUCCGUUAUAUGUGUUACUGUCCAGAAUCUCUCCGAGGAAAGCUGUUAGAAAUUUAAAGGUAGGACUGGAAUUUGGGUCUGUUCCCUACAAACCCUGCAAAGCCUGAAGGACCGGGCUGAUGACUGCUCUUAACAAAGGUGGUUUAUUAAUAUUCUGUCAGAUUUCCCUCAGCUCUGGGCAGGACAGGCAAGGGUUAGGGUCGGGAAUUGUGCAAGCAAGACCUGAUGAUUUCUCCUGUGCAUGUGUCAGUUUGGCUGGGCUGGGACAAGGAGGACUCGUGCAGGCACCUCCAGAGACAGCAGGAAUGGGAGUGUGUUGUGGAGAAGGAAAAUUCCAGGUGAAUUGCCACGAGAGGAAAUACCUCAGAGGGGCUUCCCUCCAAAUAAGCCCUGAAUAUGCCAGGAGGUUUCAGCUGGGAGAAUGGAGCUGUGGAAGAAAACCACCCUAAAAAUAGCCAGUGGGGAUCAUCAGGUUUUCCAGCCAAGAAAAACAAGGACGGAGAUGAGGGAAUCAGGUUCCAAUUAAUAAUGAUUUGGUGGGUGUAGGAAUGAUUUCUGUAUGUUUUCCAGUCCCUUUUGAUGAUUUUAAAAUCAUGGCUUUAGCAAUCAA